Molecule: transfer RNA, 73 nt
Filed under: Paramuricea clavata
Lineage: Eukaryota; Metazoa; Cnidaria; Anthozoa; Malacalcyonacea; Plexauridae
Rfam family: tRNA
About the family: Transfer RNA (tRNA) molecules are approximately 80 nucleotides in length. Their secondary structure includes four short double-helical elements and three loops (D, anti-codon, and T loops).
Source: Rfam by way of RNAcentral
GACCGUGUAGCUCAGUUGGCAGAGCGUUGGGCUAGUAUUCCAAAGGUCGUAGGUUCGAAUCCCACCGUGGUCA